GACGAACGCUGGCGGCGCGCCUAACACAUGCAAGUCGAGCGAUGAAAUUUUAACCGAUCUCUUCGGAGAGAAGAUAAAAUGGAUUAGCGGCGGACGGGUGAGUAACACGUGAGAAACCUGCCUUUCACAAGGGGAUAGCCUCGGGAAACCGGGAUUAAUACCCUAUGACACAUUUCCUUCGCAUGGAAGAAAUGUUAAAACUCCGGUGGUGAAAGAUGGUCUCGCGCCUGAUUAGCUAGUUGGUGGGGUAACGGCCCACCAAGGCCAUGAUCAGUAACCGGCCUGAGAGGGUGAACGGUCACAUUGGAACUGAGACACGGUCCAAACUCCUACGGGAGGCAGCAGUGGGGAAUAUUGCACAAUGGAGGAAACUCUGAUGCAGCGACGCCGCGUGAGCGAUGAAGGCUUUCGAGUCGUAAAGCUCUGUCCUAUGGGAAGAUAAUGACGGUACCAUAGGAGGAAGCCCCGGCUAACUACGUGCCAGCAGCCGCGGUAAU
This 497-nucleotide ribosomal RNA is filed under the name uncultured bacterium. RNAcentral's name for it is "bacterial SSU rRNA". It matches the Rfam family "Bacterial small subunit ribosomal RNA", at positions 28 to 524 of the family's 1533-position model. The record is from RNAcentral.